AUAUCUCUCUGUACGGGAAGGAUGAGAAGCUUCGACUAAGGUUCGAUUCGAGCGAAAGCGAGAAAGCGUUGCCGCAGGCAACGACCCAAAGGGCGAAGCGCGCAGCGCUGAGUAAUCCUUCCCCCACCACCA
This 132-nucleotide small RNA is filed under the name Salmonella enterica subsp. enterica serovar Sandiego. RNAcentral's name for it is "RtT sRNA". It matches the Rfam family "RtT RNA". From Rfam's summary of the family: This family represents a bacterial cis-regulatory element known as RtT RNA. The exact function of RtT is unknown although it is thought that it may be involved in changing the cellular response in relation to amino acid starvation. Lineage: Bacteria; Pseudomonadati; Pseudomonadota; Gammaproteobacteria; Enterobacterales; Enterobacteriaceae. The record is from RNAcentral.